GCCUGAGUAGCUCAGCUGGCAGAGCAGCGCAUUCGUAAUGCGAAGGUCGCAUGUUCGAUUCAUGUCUCAGGCA
Molecule: transfer RNA, 73 nt
Filed under: Verrucomicrobiota bacterium
Lineage: Bacteria; Pseudomonadati; Verrucomicrobiota
Description: tRNA-Thr
Rfam family: tRNA
About the family: Transfer RNA (tRNA) molecules are approximately 80 nucleotides in length. Their secondary structure includes four short double-helical elements and three loops (D, anti-codon, and T loops). Further hydrogen bonds mediate the characteristic L-shaped molecular structure. tRNAs have two regions of fundamental functional importance: the anti-codon, which is responsible for specific mRNA codon recognition, and the 3' end, to which the tRNAs corresponding amino acid is attached (by aminoacyl-tRNA synthetases). tRNAs cope with the degeneracy of the genetic code in two manners: having more than one tRNA (with a specific anti-codon) for a particular amino acid; and 'wobble' base-pairing, i.e. permitting non-standard base-pairing at the 3rd anti-codon position.
Source: RNAcentral